AUUUUUAUUUAUUUUUGGGUAGAGAAGGGUUAGGGUUAAUAAGUAAUGUACUUGAGCUAGAAGGAGGAUGGAAAAUUGACAGGGUGAUUUUCUGAACAAAUAUUGACCAUUCAUGUGCUAUAUGAAAAGAAAAGAAAGCAUGAGAAAAUAGAAGAGAGGGAGGGCCCCCUGCUGCCAAGCACAACAGAAUAGGAAUAUAUAGCCAUAUCCAUGUUCUAAUUUCUCUUUCAUACAGAUGCAUAUAUUCUUCUUCUCCAUCACAUGUGAGCUAUUGGUGAUGGA
This 282-nucleotide unclassified non-coding RNA is filed under the name Hevea brasiliensis (rubber tree). The record is from RNAcentral. Lineage: Eukaryota; Viridiplantae; Streptophyta; Magnoliopsida; Malpighiales; Euphorbiaceae.